CAGUGGGAGCCCACUUUGUUGGGUGACUGCGUACCUUUUGUAUAAUGGGUCAGCGACUUAUUUUCAGUGGCGAGCUUAACCGAAUAGGGGAGGCGUAGCGAAAGCGAGUCUUAAUAGGGCGUCUAGUCGCUGGGAAUAGACCCGAAACCGGGCGAUCUAUCCAUGGGCAGGUUGAAGGUUGGGUAACACUAACUGGAGGACCGAACCGACUACCGUUGAAAAGUUAGCGGAUGACCUGUGGAUCGGAGUGAAAGGCUAAUCAAGCUCGGAGAUAGCUGGUUCUCCUCGAAAGCUAUUUAGGUAGCGCCUCAUGUAUCACUGUAGGGGGUAGAGCACUGUUUCGGCUAGGGGGUCAUCCCGACUUACCAAACCGAUGCAAACUCCGAAUACCUACAAGUGCCGAGCAUGGGAGACACACGGCGGGUGCUAACGUCCGUCGUGAAAAGGGAAACAACCCAGACCGUCAGCUAAGGUCCCAAAGUUAUGGUUAAGUGGGAAACGAUGUGGGAAGGCUUAGACAGCUAGGAGGUUGGCUUAGAAGCAGCCACCCUUUAAAGAAAGCGUAAUAGCUCACUAGUCGAGUCGGCCUGCGCGGAAGAUGUAACGGGGCUCAAACCAUACACCGAAGCUACGGGUAUCACGUAAGUGAUGCGGUAGAGGAGCGUUCUGUAAGCCUGUGNNNNNNNNNNAUCAGAAGUGCGAAUGCUGACAUGAGUAACGACAAUGGGUGUGAAAAACACCCACGCCGAAAGACCAAGGUUUCCUGCGCAACGUUAAUCGACGCAGGGUUAGUCGGUCCCUAAGGCGAGGCUGAAAAGCGUAGUCGAUGGAAAACAGGUUAAUAUUCCUGUACUUCUGGUUAUUGCGAUGGAGGGACGGAGAAGGCUAGGCCAGCUUGGCGUUGGUUGUCCAAGUUUAAGGUGGUAGGCUGAGAUCUUAGGUAAAUCCGGGAUUUCAAGGCCGAGAGCUGAUGACGAGUUACCCUUUGGGUGACGA
This 996-nucleotide ribosomal RNA is filed under the name Mesorhizobium sp. RNAcentral describes it as "partial 23S ribosomal RNA". It matches the Rfam family "Bacterial large subunit ribosomal RNA", at positions 571 to 1588 of the family's 2925-position model. Lineage: Bacteria; Pseudomonadati; Pseudomonadota; Alphaproteobacteria; Hyphomicrobiales; Phyllobacteriaceae. The record is from RNAcentral.